GGAGAGGUGUCCGAGUGGUUGAAGGAGCACGCUUGGAAAGCGUGUAGCCGGGCAACCGGCUCGUGGGUUCGAAUCCCACCCUCUCCGCCA
Molecule: transfer RNA, 90 nt
Filed under: Acidobacteriota bacterium
Lineage: Bacteria; Pseudomonadati; Acidobacteriota
Also listed under: 1 other name
Description: Acidobacteria bacterium tRNA-Ser
Rfam family: tRNA
About the family: Transfer RNA (tRNA) molecules are approximately 80 nucleotides in length. Their secondary structure includes four short double-helical elements and three loops (D, anti-codon, and T loops).
Source: RNAcentral